UUAAAUAAUUUAUAUUUUCACUCAGACUACAAUCUUCAGACAGAGUUCUAGGUGUCUUCGGCGGGCACGGGCCCGGGGGCAGAAGCCCCCCGGCGGCCAUACGGCGGGCCCGCCGAAGCAACAAGGUAUAAUAAACACGGGUGGGAGGUUGGACCCAGAGGGCCCUCACUCGGUAAUGAUCCUUCCGCAGGUUCACCUACGGAAA
Molecule: unclassified non-coding RNA, 205 nt
Filed under: uncultured fungus
Lineage: Eukaryota; Fungi
Description: sequence contains ITS1
Source: RNAcentral